GACGAACCGUGCGAACGUUGUUCGGAAUCACUGGGCUUAAAGGGCGCGUAGGCGGGUCGAAAAGUCCGCGGGGAAAUCCCCCCGCUCAACGGGGGAACGGCCGCGGAUACUGUCGGCCUCGAGGGGGGUAGGGGCGAGCGGAACGCUGGGUGGAGCGGUGAAAUGCGUUGAUAUCCAGCGGAACUCCGGUGGCGAAGGCGGCUCGCUGGACCCCCACUGACGCUGAGGCGCGAAAGCCAGGGGAGCGAACGGG
This 253-nucleotide ribosomal RNA is filed under the name uncultured bacterium. RNAcentral describes it as "partial 16S ribosomal RNA". It matches the Rfam family "Bacterial small subunit ribosomal RNA", at positions 524 to 776 of the family's 1533-position model. The record is from RNAcentral.